AUUGAACGCUGGCGGCAGGCUUAACACAUGCAAGUCGAGCGGGGGAAGGUAGCUUGCUACCGGACCUAGCGGCGGACGGGUGAGUAAUGCUUAGGAAUCUGCCUAUUAGUGGGGGACAACAUCUCGAAAGGGAUGCUAAUACCGCAUACGUCCUACGGGAGAAAGCAGGGGAUCUUCGGACCUUGCGCUAAUAGAUGAGCCUAAGUCGGAUUAGCUAGUUGGUGGGGUAAAGGCCUACCAAGGCGACGAUCUGUAGCGGGUCUGAGAGGAUGGACCGCCACACUGGGACUGGGACACGGCGCAGACUCCUACGGGAGGCAGCAGUGGGGGAUAUUGGACAAUGGGGGGAACCCUGAUCCAGCCAUGCCGCGUGUGUGAAGAAGGCCUUAUGGUUGUAAAGCACUUUAAGCGAGGAGGAGGCUACUCUAGUUAAUACCUAGGGAUAGUGGACGUUACUCGCAGAAUAAGCACCGGCUAACUCUGUGCCAGCCGCCGCCGUAA
This 501-nucleotide ribosomal RNA is filed under the name uncultured bacterium. RNAcentral's name for it is "partial 16S ribosomal RNA". It matches the Rfam family "Bacterial small subunit ribosomal RNA", at positions 30 to 523 of the family's 1533-position model. The record is from RNAcentral.